Molecule: transfer RNA, 71 nt
Filed under: Bemisia tabaci
Lineage: Eukaryota; Metazoa; Arthropoda; Insecta; Hemiptera; Aleyrodidae
Description: tRNA-Arg
Source: RNAcentral
AUUGUAUAGAAGUAAAAAUUUACAUUUAAUUUCGACUUAAAGUUUAAGAACCUACUAUUCUUCAUACAAUU